GUUCCUGGUCCGGUUUUCCCCGCAUUUGCGCAGAAAUCUGUCUUGUUUGCAUGAGACUUUGAAAAGAAAAUUAUAUGUAUCAGUCUAGUAAAAUAUAAGAUUGGAACUCAAUACAAUUUCAUUUUUAAUAAUUGUUUGAUUUGAAAAAAACGUUACCUGAUGGAAGCGUUUCUUUUGUUUACAUUGAAUAUGACGUCAUAACUUAAACAACGUCACAGCUAAAUCCCUAAC
This 231-nucleotide long non-coding RNA is filed under the name Mytilus galloprovincialis (Mediterranean mussel). The record is from RNAcentral. Lineage: Eukaryota; Metazoa; Mollusca; Bivalvia; Mytilida; Mytilidae.